CCCGGCGCGCGUGACGUCAGAGCGAGGGGCGGGGCGGGGCCUCCGGGAAGCCGGCGCAGGAAGCAGAGGCUUAAAAGCUGCUAGAAACCAGUGACUCUUCACCCCGGUGGAUCACUAACAGCAGAACAGACUUGACCUUCAUUUGGCUUCUGUCUCCUUCACCACCUUAAACCUGCGGGUUAGGCCCUUGCUCAGCUCUGCAUAUGGGAAGGACGGGACGUUAAUCCCUCAGGGAACAUCUGCUAAGAGCUGGCGCUGUCAGGUCCCUGGUGCUCCGCUGCCACAACUGACCUCACUCCCUUGGAGAAGGGGCACCAGGUGGAUCCACAGGAUUCCUGUGGGCAGGAGGAGCAGCUGCCCUGCCCAGGCCCUCUCUCUCUCGUACCUGACACCCACAGCUGCUCUGCUGGCUGCUCCUCCGUUCUGUCCCGCGUCAUGGUCUCAGAAAUGAGCUCGGUGUUUCCACAGGCUGCUCCCAAGUACAGGUCUGAUGACUCAGAUGCUGCCUGUCGUGGACAUCAGGGCCAGCACAGCUUCUAGACAUCCUCUUAGCGGAAGAACAGAAAACGGGAACUGGCAAGGAAGUCACAGUAAUUCUUCAACUGUGUCCGGGCACCAAUGCAGGCUUUGCACUUAGUCACCGUCACCCCGUCUGUCAGACACACCCAUGAUUUCCUCACCAGUGACUUUUACUCGGACGGCAUGAAGUUAAAAAGUAAAGAUACACAUAAUUUGGAUGCUGGCAGGCAGCAGAGGAGAAUGGGAUCCAGGAACCUGAGUUCGACGAGGUUGAAGGGACAGGUCUCAGUUUCUUGUCGACUGAAGAGCUCACCAACCUUUAGGUCUCCUGGUUUCCAAGCCAGCGGUCUUUCUAAGACUCCAAGCCAGGCUGUCCGAAUACCAUGUAUUCAGAAUACUCCUGUAACCUCAGCACCUGGGAGGCUGAGGGAGGAGGCUGCCCAUGAGUUCAAGGACAGCCUGAGCUCCAUAGUGAGUUCAAGGCCAGCCUGGAAUACAGAGUGAGACCCUGUCUCAAACAAACAACAAACAAACAAGCAUUUCUUCACACUGUUUUAAUUAAUUCAGCUGGCUAAAUCCCAAGAAUGGAUAAGCCUGUCUCAGAGUUAGAGACAGCAAGUCAGUCCAAAGCAAUCUGACAUUCCUCUAAAACUGAAUAGAUUUGAAGUGCAACAUCCUUGGGCUGUGAUCUCAUUUCCUGUUUAAAAAAAUACUACAAAUGAGCUCUUCUGUACGGGCACUCAUUAUAUCUUAGCUUUAUUAAUUCUAUCAUAUUGCCGG
Heterocephalus glaber (naked mole-rat) is the source of this 1299-nucleotide long non-coding RNA. NCBI's taxonomy places the organism in Eukaryota, Metazoa, Chordata, Mammalia, Rodentia, Bathyergidae. The record is from Ensembl.